GGCAAGACAGAAUAAAAAUGUUUUUAAUUUUGAACCGUGGUAGUUGCUAUUAAUAACUAGCAGUAUAAACAGUGUCCACAAUUUGGUGGCUGGCCAUAGUUUAAAAUUUUUUUCAAGUUAAUUUCUACAGCAGACGUAUUUUUGAAGUCUACCCACCCCUGAGUUCAACAAUUAUACUUUUAGAGUGUAAAAUUAUAUGCCCUUAAUUAACAACAUGUACAAAGCUACAAAAUUUCAUCUAUACAGAGAUUAAAAACAAUUUUUAAAAUA
This 270-nucleotide long non-coding RNA is filed under the name Bos taurus (domestic cattle). RNAcentral's name for it is "long non-coding RNA NONBTAT006245". Lineage: Eukaryota; Metazoa; Chordata; Mammalia; Artiodactyla; Bovidae. The record is from RNAcentral.